AAACGACUCUCGGCAACGGAUAUCUCGGCUCACGCAUCGAUGAAGAACGUAGCAAAAUGCGAUACUUGGUGUGAAUUGCAGAAUCCCGUGAACCAUCGAGMUUUUGAACGCAAGUUGCGCCCGAAGCCUUUUGGUUGAGGGCACGUCUGCCUGGGCGUCACGCAU
This 165-nucleotide ribosomal RNA is filed under the name Bothriocline ruwenzoriensis. RNAcentral describes it as "5.8S ribosomal RNA". It matches the Rfam family "5.8S ribosomal RNA". From Rfam's summary of the family: 5.8S ribosomal RNA (5.8S rRNA) is a component of the large subunit of the eukaryotic ribosome. It is transcribed by RNA polymerase I as part of the 45S precursor that also contains 18S and 28S rRNA. Lineage: Eukaryota; Viridiplantae; Streptophyta; Magnoliopsida; Asterales; Asteraceae. The record is from RNAcentral.